GGGUUGUGAGGUUAAGCGACUAAGCGUACACGGUGGAUGCCCUGGCAGUCAGAGGCGAUGAAGGGCGUGCUAAUCUGCGAUAAGCGCCGGUAAGGUGAUAUGAACCGUUAUAACCGGCGAUACCCGAAUGGGGAAACCCAGUGUGACUCGUCACACUAUCAUUAACUGAAUCCAUAGGUUAAUGAGGCGAACCGGGGGAACUGAAACAUCUAAGUACCCCGAGGAAAAGAAAUCAACCGAGAUUCCCCCAGUAGCGGCGAGCGAACGGGGAGGAGCCCAGAGCCUGAAUCAGCAUGUGUGUUAGUGGAAGCGUCUGGAAAGGCGCGCGAUACAGGGUGACAGCCCCGUACACAAAAGCGCAUGUGCUGUGAGCUCGAUGAGUAGGGCGGGACACGUGGUAUCCUGUCUGAAUAUGGGGGGACCAUCCUCCAAGGCUAAAUACUCCUGACUGACCGAUAGUGAACCAGUACCGUGAGGGAAAGGCGAAAAGAACCCCGGCGAGGGGAGUGAAAAGAACCUGAAACCGUGUACGUACAAGCAGUGGGAGCCCCACCACUAAGCCAGUGGUGAACUCCACAUACGCAUCCUUUGCUGAGGAUACGGUUAACGGAGCGAAAGCGACGUUCAACCUCAAAAGAAGCAGAGGGGGCUUAGUGGUGGGGUGACUGCGUACCUUUUGUAUAAUGGGUCAGCGACUUAUAUUCUGUAGCAAGGUUAACCGAAUAGGGGAGCCGGAGGGAAACCGAGUCUUAAUUGGGCGUUAAGUUGCAGGGUAUAGACCCGAAACCCGGUGAUCUAGCCAUGGGCAGGUUGAAGGUUGGGUAACACUAACUGGAGGACCGAACCGACUAAUGUUGAAAAAUUAGCGGAUGACCUGUGGCUGGGGGUGAAAGGCCAAUCAAACCGGGAGAUAGCUGGUUCUCCCCGAAAGCUAUUUAGGUAGCGCCUCGUGAACUCAUCUCCGGGGGUAGAGCACUGUUUCGGCUAGGGGGCCAUCCCGGCUUACCAACCCGAUGCAAACUGCGAAUACCGGAGAAUGUUAUCACGGGAGACACACGGCGGGUGCUAACGUCCGUCGUGAAGAGGGAAACAACCCAGACCGCCAGCUAAGGUCCCAAAGUCAUGGUUAAGUGGGAAACGAUGUGGGAAGGCCCAGACAGCCAGGAUGUUGGCUUAGAAGCAGCCAUCAUUUAAAGAAAGCGUAAUAGCUCACUGGUCGAGUCGGCCUGCGCGGAAGAUGUAACGGGGCUAAACCAUGCACCGAAGCUGCGGCAGCGACGCUGAUGCGUUGUUGGGUAGGGGAGCGUUCUGUAAGCCUGCGAAGGUGGCCUGUGAGGGUUGCUGGAGGUAUCAGAAGUGCGAAUGCUGACAUAAGUAACGAUAAAGCGGGUGAAAAGCCCGCUCGCCGGAAGACCAAGGGUUCCUGUCCAACGUUAAUCGGGGCAGGGUGAGUCGACCCCUAAGGCGAGGCCGAAAGGCGUAGUCGAUGGGAAACGGGUUAAUAUUCCCGUACUUGGUGUUACUGCGAAGGGGGGACGGAGAAGGCUAUGUUGGCCGGGCGACGGUUGUCCCGGUUUAAGCGUGUAGGCUGGUUUUCCAGGCAAAUCCGGAAAAUCAAGGCUGAGGCGUGAUGACGAGGCACUACGGUGCUGAAGCAACAAAUGCCCUGCUUCCAGGAAAAGCCUCUAAGCAUCAGGUAACAUCAAAUCGUACCCCAAACCGACACAGGUGGUCAGGUAGAGAAUACCAAGGCGCUUGAGAGAACUCGGGUGAAGGAACUAGGCAAAAUGGUGCCGUAACUUCGGGAGAAGGCACGCUGACACGUAGGUGAAGUGAUUUACUCACGGAGCUGAAGUCAGUCGAAGAUACCAGCUGGCUGCAACUGUUUAUUAAAAACACAGCACUGUGCAAACACGAAAGUGGACGUAUACGGUGUGACGCCUGCCCGGUGCCGGAAGGUUAAUUGAUGGGGUCAGCGCAAGCGAAGCUCCUGAUCGAAGCCCCGGUAAACGGCGGCCGUAACUAUAACGGUCCUAAGGUAGCGAAAUUCCUUGUCGGGUAAGUUCCGACCUGCACGAAUGGCGUAAUGAUGGCCAGGCUGUCUCCACCCGAGACUCAGUGAAAUUGAACUCGCUGUGAAGAUGCAGUGUACCCGCGGCAAGACGGAAAGACCCCGUGAACCUUUACUAUAGCUUGACACUGAACAUUGAGCCUUGAUGUGUAGGAUAGGUGGGAGGCUUUGAAGUGUGGACGCCAGUCUGCAUGGAGCCGACCUUGAAAUACCACCCUUUAAUGUUUGAUGUUCUAACGUGGACCCGUUACCCGGGUUGCGGACAGUGUCUGGUGGGUAGUUUGACUGGGGCGGUCUCCUCCUAAAGAGUAACGGAGGAGCACGAAGGUUGGCUAAUCCUGGUCGGACAUCAGGAGGUUAGUGCAAUGGCAUAAGCCAGCUUGACUGCGAGCGUGACGGCGCGAGCAGGUGCGAAAGCAGGUCAUAGUGAUCCGGUGGUUCUGAAUGGAAGGGCCAUCGCUCAACGGAUAAAAGGUACUCCGGGGAUAACAGGCUGAUACCGCCCAAGAGUUCAUAUCGACGGCGGUGUUUGGCACCUCGAUGUCGGCUCAUCACAUCCUGGGGCUGAAGUAGGUCCCAAGGGUAUGGCUGUUCGCCAUUUAAAGUGGUACGCGAGCUGGGUUUAGAACGUCGUGAGACAGUUCGGUCCCUAUCUGCCGUGGGCGCUGGAGAACUGAGGGGGGCUGCUCCUAGUACGAGAGGACCGGAGUGGACGCAUCACUGGUGUUCGGGUUGUCAUGCCAAUGGCACUGCCCGGUAGCUAAAUGCGGAAGAGAUAAGUGCUGAAAGCAUCUAAGCACGAAACUUGCCCCGAGAUGAGUUCUCCCUGAGACUUUAGGUCUCCUGAAGGAACGUUGAAGACGACGACGUUGAUAGGCCGGGUGUGUAAGCGCAGCGAUGCGUUGAGCUAACCGGUACUAAUGAACCGUGAGGCUUAACCUUACAACGCCGAAG
Molecule: ribosomal RNA, 3025 nt
Filed under: Salmonella enterica subsp. enterica serovar Senftenberg str. ATCC 43845
Lineage: Bacteria; Pseudomonadati; Pseudomonadota; Gammaproteobacteria; Enterobacterales; Enterobacteriaceae
Description: bacterial LSU rRNA
Rfam family: Bacterial large subunit ribosomal RNA
Source: RNAcentral